CGCGGCGGUAAACAUGGCGAACGGCUAGCGGAGUCGUUGCGUUGCAGUCAGUCCUGAAGGCUUUGGUUUUCUCUUUCAGACUCAAACAAUACAUUUUAUUUUAUUUGUGGUACCUGGAGGUACCACAAAGGGGCUGUGCUCUGUGGGCUUUAUUUAAACAAAAGGGUAAAGGAAACGCACCGGCAACAUGGGGCGACGUUCAACCUCCUCCACCAAGAGUGGGAAGUUUAUGAACCCCACCGACCAGGCCACUUUCAGUCUAUCAAGAUGGACCAGCUAACAUUUGAGAGGGAGAAUCGUGAGCGUAUCCAGGCAGUGGAGAAUUCAUUUGGUCCUUCGGGGCAGCCCCUGUACCACGCAGGCCGGAUUCUGAUGGGAGAAGGCCGUCUGAUAAAGCAGGGUCGUCGGAAGCCUGAGUGGAAGGUUUUCUUUCUUUUCAAUGAUGUGCUGGUGUACGGCAGCAUCAUUCUCAAGGGCCACUGGUACAAAAAUCAGAGGAUCAUCCCUCUAGAGGACAUCCAGCUGGAGGACGCGGAGGAUGGUUCGGCACUGAAGAACCAAUGGCUAAUCCGUACACCAUUCAAGUCCUUCUUUGUGUCCGCCCCUUCAAAGGAGGAGAAGCACGCCUGGAUGGGUCAUAUCGAAGAGUGCCGAUCCGGGCUGCUGCUGACCGGCAUCUGCCAACCCGGCACCAACUUUGCUGUUUCCUGGAUUCCAGAUCAGGCCGCCUACAAAUGCAUGCGCUGCCUCAGCAAGUUCACUGCAACCAAUCGUCGACACCACUGCCGGAAAUGUGGUUUUUUGGUCUGUAAUUCCUGCUCCAGGAGCCGGGCAGUGAUAAGCCACAUUCACCCAUCUAAGAAGCUGAGGGUCUGCAGUCUCUGCUACAAGAGGAUUGAUGAAGAAGAGAUGUCUCGUGUGAGGGGAAACAGCACGGAAAAGACCAGCUCAGAGGAGGAGGAUGAGGGGGAGGAAGAGGUGAUGAUGCAGGACCACUCUCCCAGCAGCUGGCUGGACUCCCAGCUGGGCACAUGGGGACAACUGAACAUUUAUGAUUACCCAAGAUCAGUGGCCACCCAGUAAAACAGAACCACAUCAAGACUUCUACAGCCUCUCAGACAUAAGAUAUGUUUCAAGAUAUAGAAAAAUGAUUUGUCUGUGUUUUGUGGGUUUUCCACAAAAAAAAAAUGGUGAGAGGAAGUUUCUUCAGGUAUUACACUUCACAGCUGCCCUUUUACUUUGAAAUUAUCUAUGUACAAUAAAGCACAUAGAAACAGCUAAAA
Molecule: RNA transcript, 1283 nt
Organism: Toxotes jaculatrix (banded archerfish)
Lineage: Eukaryota; Metazoa; Chordata; Actinopteri; Toxotidae
Gene name: pleckstrin homology domain-containing family F member 1-like
Exons: 5
Source: RefSeq, a predicted model, not a curated record